ACUCCUACGGGAGGCAGCAGUGGGGAAUAUUGCACAAUGGGCGCAAGCCUGAUGCAGCCAUGCCGCGUGUGUGAAGAAGGCCUUCGGGUUGUAAAGCACUUUCAGUUGUGAGGAAGGUGGUGUCGUUAAUAGCGGCAUCAUUUGACGUUAGCAACAGAAGAAGCACCGGCUAACUCCGUGCCAGCAGCCGCGGUAAUACGGAGGGUGCGAGCGUUAAUCGGAAUUACUGGGCGUAAAGCGCAUGCAGGUGGUUUGUUAAGUCAGAUGUGAAAGCCCGGGGCUCAACCUCGGAACUGCAUUUGAAACUGGCAGACUAGAGUACUGUAGAGGGGGGUAGAAUUUCAGGUGUAGCGGUGAAAUGCGUAGAGAUCUGAAGGAUACCGGUGGCGAAGGCGGCCCCCUGGACAGAUACUGACACUCAGAUGCGAAA
This 430-nucleotide ribosomal RNA is filed under the name uncultured bacterium. RNAcentral describes it as "bacterial SSU rRNA". It matches the Rfam family "Bacterial small subunit ribosomal RNA", at positions 335 to 758 of the family's 1533-position model. The record is from RNAcentral.